AAAUUUUUAGUUUAAGAAAAAUUUUAAAUUGCAAAUUUAAAGAUAUAAAAAAUUUUAUAAAAUUUU
Molecule: transfer RNA, 66 nt
Filed under: Amblyjoppa sp. ZJUH_2016002
Lineage: Eukaryota; Metazoa; Arthropoda; Insecta; Hymenoptera; Ichneumonidae
Description: tRNA-Cys
Source: RNAcentral